AGACAGCAGUCGCCGCGGUAACACGUAGGUGGCAAGCGUUGUCCGGAAUUAUUGGGCGUAAAGCGCGCGCAGGCGGAUAGGUCAGUCUGUCUUAAAAGUUCGGGGCUCAACCCCGUGAUGGGAUGGAAACUAGUAGGCUAGAGUAUCGGAGAGGAAAGCGGAAUUCCUAGUGUAGCGGUGAAAUGCGUAGAUAUUAGGAAGAACACCAGUGGCGAAGGCGGCUUUCUGGACGAAAACUGACGCUGAGGCGCGAAAGCCAGGGGAGCGAACGGGAUUAGAUACCCCCGUAGUCCCUGUCUCUUAUACA
Molecule: ribosomal RNA, 307 nt
Filed under: uncultured bacterium
Lineage: Bacteria
Description: partial 16S ribosomal RNA
Rfam family: Bacterial small subunit ribosomal RNA
Source: RNAcentral